UACGUAGGGUGCAAGCGUUGUCCGGAAUUAUUGGGCGUAAAGAGCUCGUAGGCGGUUUGUCGCGUCUGCUGUGAAAACUCGGGGCUUAACCCCGGGCCUGCAGUGGGUACGGGCAGACUAGAGUGCGGUAGGGGAGACUGGAAUUCCUGGUGUAGCGGUGAAAUGUGCAGAUAUCAGGAGGAACACCGGUGGCGAAGGCGGGUCUCUGGGCAGUAACUGACGCUGAGGAGCGAAAGCGUGGGGAGCGAACAGG
Molecule: ribosomal RNA, 253 nt
Filed under: uncultured bacterium
Lineage: Bacteria
Description: partial 16S ribosomal RNA
Rfam family: Bacterial small subunit ribosomal RNA
Source: RNAcentral